UUAUCCACUCUUGGUGAGACAAUAUUGUUCACCUCCAGUGGAUAAAUCUUGAUAUUCAACGAACGGUCCUCCAAUAUCUGCUUAAUAUUUAGCAAUUCGAAGAAAAAUCCCUCAGGGGCUAAAAACAGGGCCUUAUUUCUUAUUUCUUAAAAUGUAUGCUACCAAUAUCGUAAGCAUUUUUUCUUUGUUCCUGUGCUUGUGAAUGCUGAGGUAAUUAGCUAACCUGCCAAAAAUCUAUAUAUUAAUACGCCUUGUGUGUGUGUGCGCACGGUGAGGCCACGUCACACAAAUCACAGGUCAUUUUCUUACGACGUGGCGUUACGCUAAAAUUUACCAAGUUAAAGAAAACGCAAAUCAGGGGGUUACUAUAUAAAUAUUUAAUUCUCUUUUCUUAUUUUUUUUUUUAAAUAAAACUCUUUUUCCUUACUCAUUAAAACUAAUUUUUAUUUUAAUUUCAAAUGGUUUAUUUGUUAUUUUGUUGUAAAAGCCCCGCUGGUCGUUUAAGAUAGAAUAAUUAAAUUUUACCCCCGGUUUACCAUGUGCGCGCCGUAUCUCACGGAAACAAAGUUUAUUAACUGAAAAAUGAAAACCGAAGCGAAGAAAGUUGUCUCUUUUUCAAAGUAAUCCUGAAAAAAGUUAUUUCAAACAAGGUUUACUCAUCACGAGAGCGACUGUUGAUGUCGAGCGAGAAUAAAAAAGUUUAUGUUGUUGCCAGAAAUAUUUGUUAUAAAGAAGAAAAACGUACGAUAAUAUAACGUCGAAAAGAGAACUGAUUAGAAAUGUAUCAGACAAUUGUAGCUAGCUAUACAUUUUAAUUUGUUUUCUUUGGGAUGAAGCGAAGUUUAAUAAUUGAAGUAAAAAACUGAUUGGUCUUUUAUCCAGAGACGCUAGCUAACUGAGAAAGCCAAAAAAAGGCAGGUGUGUUGUUUAGUUUAUCUGGUAAAGAGAUAAGUUUAGGUGUGUAACGUUUUUUUUUAACCGUUUUAACUUUCAGAGCUCAGCUUUUCCUUUAAAUUUUUAGUUCCUUGUUGAGUCUUAAAUGCGUUUUCUUUUGACACAAUUUUUAUAAGAAUCUAAAAUGUAAAGCGACGUUUUUAAGCCGUUUACACGCUUCCAGCUAAACUUUCCCUUUAAUAUAAAGUUAAAUAUGUUUUGUCUUUAGCCUGAACAUAUUUAACAUUUUUUGUAAGAAUAUACUCUAAACAAUGGGUCAGAAUAUCCUAAGAAUGUCUAAGCUUGGUUGUUUCUUUUGAUAUAAAAAUUUGUAUGACUGAACUUUUUUCUCUCCAAAACAAUGGGCAAGUACACCAGGGAAAGCUAAGAACAUGAAGGCCGAAACGAAAAAAACAAACACUAUUCUUAUAAAAUACAGCGUGUAUAUAAUAGAGAAGAGUUUAUAUAAAAUGUAGAAAGUAUUUUUUCGUUGUUACUGUUUUUAACGCUACGAAGUGGUUGAUGUCGUUAUAAUAAACCUUAAUGUAAACAAAGUUAAAUCAAUGUUUACAUUUGUUACGUUACCGUUUAAAAUAAUAUUCGAUUCUUCAAUUCGAAAACACUGCAUUGUUAUCAUGCACUGCACGUUUGCGCAUUGGGAAGGUUGCUAUAUGCAAUAGACUAAAUAGCUAAUUUGGUAUGAUGCAUUAGAAUCUGUACGUUGUGGAAACUUUGCAAUAACCUUAUUUGUGUGACUUAUCGAUUUUUUCUAAUGUCUGGUAUACCAUUUUCCCUUUUAUAUUUCGGGUAUGACAAAGCAAGUAUAUAGUUUUAACAGAUUUGUUAGCCACCUUCGAUUUUGUUAAACUUUUUGCAUUUUUAUUUGUUGCUGGACAUGCUUAUAUUUUUAAGCGUUCUGCUUCAGCGGGUACAAAUAUAACGCAGAUUGUGAGCAACUUCAAUCCCAGGGUUUUUUUCUCUUUUAUUGUUAUUUUUUUAUUGCUGCACAUAUUUAUAUUUUUGGACGUUUUGUUCUAGUGGUUAUAAACUAGAAUAAUACAAAUUGUGACUUUUAAAGAUUCA
This is a long non-coding RNA of Hydractinia symbiolongicarpus, 2016 nucleotides long. RefSeq lists it as uncharacterized. NCBI's taxonomy places the organism in Eukaryota, Metazoa, Cnidaria, Hydrozoa, Anthoathecata, Hydractiniidae. The transcript has 2 exons. The record is from RefSeq and is a predicted model, not a curated record.